AGCGAACGCUGGCGGCAGGCCUAACACAUGCAAGUCGAACGAAGUCUUCGGACUUAGUGGCGGACGGGUGAGUAACACGUGGGAACGUACCUUUUGGUUCGGAACAACUCAGGGAAACUUGAGCUAAUACCGGAUGAGCCCUUAGGGGGAAAGAUUUAUCGCCGAAAGAGCGGCCCGCGGUAGAUUAGGUAGUUGGUGAGGUAAAGGCUCACCAAGGCUACGAACUAUAGCCUGUCUGGAGGGGUGAUCAGCCACAAUGGGACGGGGACACGGGCCAGACUCCUAAGGGAGGCAGCAGUGGGGAAUCUUGGGCAAAGGGGGAAAGCCUGACGCAGCCAUGCCGCGUGAAUUAUGAAGGUCUUUGGAUUGUAAAAUUCUUUUACCAGGGACGAUAAUGACGGUACCUGGAGAAAAAGCCCCGGCUAACUUCGUGCCAGCCGCCGCGGUAA
RNAcentral lists this ribosomal RNA (449 nucleotides) under uncultured bacterium. RNAcentral describes it as "partial 16S ribosomal RNA". It matches the Rfam family "Bacterial small subunit ribosomal RNA", at positions 29 to 523 of the family's 1533-position model. The record is from RNAcentral.